UUCCAAGAGUUCAGCUCGGAUAACGUCGGCCAUCCUCAGAGCACAGCAGUUGAGGAAGUAAUCAUGACACCACUUUUCAACACAGUCUGGAGGGAAAGAAGCAGAGCUGAUGUGCUGUAAGCGACACAGUGAGAGAGGGAACACAAGCAGGGGAAGUGGAGGAGGGAGAAGAGGCUUCCUGCUGAGCAGAGAGCCCAAUGUGGGGCUCAAUCCCAGCACCCUGGGAUCAUGACCUGAGUCAAAGGCAGACGCAGAAUGACUGAGCCACCCAGGCACCCUCCAAAUAUUAUAUUAAAGUUCAGUCACCUGGUUAAGUUAA
This is a long non-coding RNA of Mustela lutreola (European mink), 319 nucleotides long. RefSeq lists it as uncharacterized. Lineage: Eukaryota; Metazoa; Chordata; Mammalia; Carnivora; Mustelidae. The record is from RefSeq and is a predicted model, not a curated record. The transcript is spliced from 2 exons.